This 87-nucleotide non-coding RNA is filed under the name unclassified sequences. Its description in RNAcentral is "DUF3800-III RNA". It matches the Rfam family "DUF3800-III RNA". The record is from Rfam by way of RNAcentral.
GGAGUGGUAUCGUAAAGCUUGGUGACCCUAGCUGCUCCUGAAAUGGAGCGGGAUAGAUUGAAAUCGGGGCCCAGGGUGAGCCGCUUU